CCUACGAGAGGCAGCAGUGAGGAAUAUUGGUCAAUGGACGAGAGUCUGAACCAGCCACGUAGCGUGAAGGAUGACUGCCCUAUGGGUUGUAAACUUUUUUUAUAUGGGAAUAAAAUGUUCCACGUGUGGGAUUUUGUAUGUACCAUAUGAAUACGGAACGGCUAAGUCCGCGCCGGCAGCCGCGGUAAUACGGAGGAUCCGAGCGUUAUCCGGAUUUAUUGGGUUUAAAGGGAGCGUAGGUGGAUUGUUAAGUCAGUUGUGAAAGUUUGCGGCUCAACCGUACAAUUGCAGUUGAAACUGGGAGUCUUGAGUACAGUAGAGGUGGGCGGAAUUCGUGGUGUAGCGGUGAAAUGCGUAGAUAUCACGAAGAACUCCGAUUGCGAAGGCAGUUCACUGGACUGCAACUGACGCUGAGGCUCGAAAGUGUGGGUAUCAAACAGGAUUAGAUACCCCGGUAGUC
This 460-nucleotide ribosomal RNA is filed under the name uncultured bacterium. RNAcentral describes it as "partial 16S ribosomal RNA". It matches the Rfam family "Bacterial small subunit ribosomal RNA", at positions 338 to 795 of the family's 1533-position model. The record is from RNAcentral.